GCAUGCACGAGUAAGUAAAAGAGCGGAAUGCACGCUGGCUAUUGGCAUCGUGCGUAUUGCGUAAACAGUGGGUCUUAAUAGACGCCUGUGCACGAGCAUCUUGCUAUGAUAAAACGGGCAUGCAUUCGCAUUGCGUCAUGUGAAAAGUAACAACUGCUAGACGGCCUUGGGUACAGCACAUUGUGAUAAUGCACUUAUUGAAAAUAAAGGAGCCAGAUAUACAAGCUUUGACAGUUGAAGAAUAUUUCUCCUGAAAGCUAACGAGGAAAUCGAGUGACAUAUGCGCCACUUUCCUGCUAAGAUAAACAUAGAAGUAUGUUUAAUCUACGUGUCGUUAUUUUUGCAGAUUGGAGUAUCCGCAGGCUUAUUGGAGUGCAUAGCACAACGAUAAUAUCGACAAAAGUGUCAUGGAUACUAAUAACCUAACCUAGACAAACUUAUCUAGCUAUCUAACAUCGAAAAUCGAUCUCGUUGUAUCAGGUUGUAGAUAUAAUUAUAUUUGACACCUAUUAUUUACUUAAAGGAGGCUAUACAUUUGUAGGAAGAUACAAAGAUCUAUAGAAUGCGCCUAAUAAGCAAUAGCAUAUGAAAUAUCCAAAGAAUUGUACUCGUUAUAAUUAGACUCUGGAUGUUUAUGCAAAGAAUGCAUAUAAUAUAAAAAAAUAUAUGAAAUAUUCAAAACACUACUUGUGUUCAUAAAAAUAUAAAUUUGCACAAGCAUCCGCAGUCCAAUUAUAAACAUAUAUAGGAUGUCAGUUGCAUUCAUAAGAAUAUAGAUUUGCGUGAUACAUCCGCGGUUCACUAAUAGUUACUAUAAAAUAGGUAGGUAGCCAUUAUAAAAUGGUAUAAUUUAUUUUAUAGUAUAAUUUCUAAUUUAUUUUAUAGGUUUAAUAAUCACGUAGAUAGUGCACGGUAUACAACGUUCGUUUAUUUGAAUUGUAAUCAUACAAGUGCAUAACAAAUAUAUUGUGCAACCAGGUUGAUCCUGUAGAAUGAAGUUGUAGCGGUGUUUCAACAUCGACUUAUGACUUCAUUGAUUCCUCCGACACGUUCGACGGAACGUUAUGAACGACGAUCCCGAAGAAACGCUCGUGGGCCAACAAACAGCUCGACUACGUUAUUAUACUUAAUCGCGGUGUGCGCCCGAAGCGCGACGUUCUCGCGAUUGCUGGAAUGCCGUCCGAUCACUUGUACCCGGUCUAUCAAGGCCGUUGGGAAAUGAAAAUCGUUUCUUUCUGGUCGACUUAUGGAAUCCAAAACAUGUGGGACAUUAAGAAUUUACGUGGACGGGGGAAAAGGCAUCGAUGGUAGGUAAACACAGGUCGGUAUAAAAAUAGAGUGCAUGUGAAGAUACAACCUGGUUCCACUGCGAUAUAACAGUUAGCGAUAAAAUCAAAUUGCACAAAUGUGCACCAAAUCGUACUUGCCGGUGAAUUGGGUCGUUCGCUUAUAGAUCGGUCGGUAAUUUACCUACGUUCCAUAACUGCAUAAGCAGUUAUUAAAUAUUUUAUUAAAUAUUGGAAUAUUCGCUACUACGCUGUUGAAUUCCGGAUUGUAGAGACCGAGUACAACAUGUUAUAAUCUUUUAAAAACUUUUUUCAAUAAAAUGCGACAAAAUCGCACCUUCGUACCUUGAGAGUUUCGGACAAAAAUAAUCAUAUUCUACUGUUUUCGCAAAUAUUUAGAAGGUGAUCCGUAAUUCAUGGGUAGAGAGAUUCUAUGACUUAAAAUAAGAGGAAAAUCAAGAAUAACAUAAUUACGCUGGUUUUGUUUCUGAGAAAAUCGAUGACUCCACUUGUACCAUGAAUACAAUACCAUAUACAGGAUGACCAUCCUGUAUAUGGUUGGGAAAAUAGCUAGGAAAAUGGUGUGAAAAAUACCGUAAGUGAGAGGAACCAAGACAAAGGUACAGAUUUUGUGUGAUUAAAUUUACGGUUUUGAUGAUUCGUCGUAGUGAAUUACCGUUUAUAUAAAUAUAGAAAUGAGUGUCGCUGUUAAUGACAUACUGAUGACAUCAUUGCAGAUUGUCUCAACAAACUGGCAAUACAUUUUAGUACUUAUACAUUAUACUGUUUAUAGUAUACUACUGCAACAAUACUCUUUAGUAUUUUACUUAUUAAUAUUUACUAUGAUUAUUUCCAUAUUUCCCGUUCCAUUUCAUUUGAAAGGAAGUUACAAAAUGAGAAUUUCGAUAUAAAGGAUAAAAUAUCACGGCUGUCUUUGCUAAUGCGAAGGUCUUUAAAGGAGAGAUUAAGUAAAAGAGUUAAAUGGUACCAGAAGACGAUUUACCUUCAUGACCACUCUCAUUUACAUACGGAAGUUAUCUAUUUCUCUAAGCGCGAGCAUCGAACCAUUACGUUCCAUUUAAUUAACAAUGUGGCAGACAAGCUUCCACCUCGAAGCGCCUCGUAGAUCGAUGUUAACCACACGUUAGAAUCAAUCAUCGCGCGUUCACCGGUGAAACGAUUAGCUUACGAUGAGUAAACAAAUGUUUGAACGAUGCGCAUUACACGGCAGAGCAAAUACGCUGCUUCCUGUCGCGUAAUUUGUAGUCGUGACGCUCGCUUCGUAUAUGUAACGAUCGACGCGAUCACUCGAUAAUAACAGAUUCAAGAAUAUUUGCAUAAUACCUACCAGAGUACACGUUAACCACUUCGUUGUACCUUUUAUCAAUUUUGCCAUCUAAUAUAUUAUGAGAACGUCGUCGUUACAAACUAGUGCGAAUGUUCUACAGGAUAGAUCAGUUUGAUAGAAGAGUGACUAUCGUAGAUGAUGUAGCAUUAUCAGUCAUGCUUACGAUCCCGUCACGAGAAGCGCACAACAUAGCAACAUAACAAUUUUGUAAUUUUGUUUAUUUUCUUUUAGAUCUACGAUGAAAACUUGCAUGAUACUUAUUUAUCACAGAUUUGUGGCAAACUGAAGAAAAGGAAGGCUAAAUCUAAAGGCUUUCUACAUUUUUCUACGUUAAACAUGACCAAUUCCAGCCACCGUUUCACGUCACGACGUUAGGAUACGGUUACCCUUGCUCGCGAUACAGAUCAUUUCACUUAACGCGUUUCAACCACUCCUCGAGCGUGCCGUAGCUAGUGAUGGGAUCUGAAACACUUCAAAUCGUAUCGCAUCUGUAUAUUCGAAUCACUUCAAACAUGAUUCUAAGCUUGAAACCCUUGAUCGUGUAGAAGGUCUUGAAUCUUUAAAGUCUUGGCAGUCUUAGGAGUCUUGAUCACCAUCAAAGCCUCGAUUGUCUAGGAAGUGUUGAAAAUCGUGAUCAUUUUAGAAGCCUUGAUCGUAUCAGAAGUCUCAGUCAUCUUGUGAAAUAAAUGUAUGUAUGAUAAUUUGAUCUUUCCAAGCGUUUUAUAAACACUCGCUGUAGAUUGCAAAACUGAAACUAACAGUUUCAAAACGAUCAAGACUUUUGAGACUUUAAAGACUCAAACUUAUCAAGAUCUACAAAAGAACUUCAAACUUCGAAUCAUGUUCCAAACGAUUCGAAUUUGUCGCCUCAUGCACAAUACAAAUUCGAAGCGAUUCGAAGUGUUUCCAAGUCCCAUCACUAGAGCCGCAAUUCGUGCCUAAUAACUGGGCGAACACGACAACAAAUUGAAGGAGCCAACAUCCAAACGCACAGCAUGAUCUUUGGACGACUAUUAUCUUCGUGUCUGUAUUUCGCUACAAUUUCAUCGACACGUCCGUUAACCCAGGUACACACAUUGACUGUCGAAUUUCCAACCAGCCAAAUUGCAUACGAUCACGUUAUAAGCGUCCAGAGUAUCAGCGUAUGGUGUAUGAAUAAUGAAUGAGCCUCGGACUGCAUAGUAAGACUGAGAAUACGGUCUUAUACGGUACUGUUACAUCCAGCGAAAAGGUGGGGUUGCACAGUUAAAACUCGUGCAACGAGACAGCCGGCCAAUAAGCAGGCAUAAAGACGACGGCGUUAAAUAACCGGUACUCGUCCUAUCGGCCGAUUGCUUUUUGUUGUAGGCCAUGGCACGUCAGCUUGAGGCUCGAGCACCACUCUGUCGACCAGCGAAACGGCUAAUGUUCUUGUUUUUUUUUUUUCUUGCCUUCUUUCUGUUUUCAUUCUUCUUCUCCUUCGCGUUCUUCUUCUUCGCCUUGUUCCUUUUUGCCUGAUUCUUUUAUUCUUUGCCGAGUUCGAUCGAAUCGAGAAAGAUCGAAAGGACGCGUUCGAUGGAAACAAUUUUUUAACAAAGGACUCGAUCGUGAAUCGUAAGAAAAGUAUGUUUUGUAACAAGAUGAAAUUGUAAUGUCUAAUUUAGACAUAUUGUAUAUUGUACAAUAUCUAUGUUUUAGGUCAGGUUUCUGUAUAAGAAGAAAAUAGUCACUAGUCAUUAGGAAAUGUACCACACACCUGCCUCACCAAGUAGCUACAUAUUCUGAGAUAACACAAGCAAUUUGCAUCACACUGAAGCUAAGAAUUUUUGGUACCAUCUUGUAACCAAA
This is a long non-coding RNA of Bombus pascuorum, 4461 nucleotides long. RefSeq lists it as uncharacterized. The record is from RefSeq and is a predicted model, not a curated record. Lineage: Eukaryota; Metazoa; Arthropoda; Insecta; Hymenoptera; Apidae. The transcript is spliced from 4 exons.